This 271-nucleotide ribosomal RNA is filed under the name unidentified diatom plastid. RNAcentral's name for it is "partial 16S ribosomal RNA". It matches the Rfam family "Bacterial small subunit ribosomal RNA", at positions 434 to 718 of the family's 1533-position model. The record is from RNAcentral. Lineage: Eukaryota; Bacillariophyta.
UUUUUCAGGGAGGAAUCAAAUGACGUGUACCUGAAGAAUAAGCAUCGGCUAACUCCGUGCCAGCAGCCGCGGUAAGACGGAGGAUGCAAGUGUUAUCCGGAAUCACUGGGCGUAAAAGCGUCUGUAGGUGGUUUAGUAAGUCAACUGUUAAAUCUUGAAGCUCAACUUCAAAAUCGCAGUCGAAACUAUUAGACUAGAGUAUAGUAGGGGUAAAGGGAAUUUCCAGUGGAGCGGUGAAAUGCGUAGAGAUUGGAAAGAACACCGAUGGCGA